AAACUGGAACACCAUGUAGACGU
Molecule: microRNA, 23 nt
Filed under: Ananas comosus (pineapple)
Lineage: Eukaryota; Viridiplantae; Streptophyta; Magnoliopsida; Poales; Bromeliaceae
Description: microRNA s0965_c123a
Source: RNAcentral